This 497-nucleotide ribosomal RNA is filed under the name uncultured bacterium. Its description in RNAcentral is "partial 16S ribosomal RNA". It matches the Rfam family "Bacterial small subunit ribosomal RNA", at positions 28 to 507 of the family's 1533-position model. The record is from RNAcentral.
GAUGAACGCUGGCGGCGUGCCUAAUACAUGCAAGUCGAGCGAACAGACGAGGAGCUUGCUCCUCUGACGUUAGCGGCGGACGGGUGAGUAACACGUGGAUAACCUACCUAUAAGACUGGGAUAACUUCGGGAAACCGGAGCUAAUACCGGAUAAUAUAUUGAACCGCAUGGUUCAAUAGUGAAAGACGGUUUUGCUGUCACUUAUAGAUGGAUCCGCGCCGCAUUAGCUAGUUGGUAAGGUAACGGCUUACCAAGGCAACGAUGCGUAGCCGACCUGAGAGGGUGAUCGGCCACACUGGAACUGAGACACGGUCCAGACUCCUACGGGGGGCAGCAGUACGGAAUCUUCCGCAAUGAGCGAAAGCCUGACGGAGCAACGCCGCGUGAGUGAUGAAGGUCUUCGGAUCGUAAAACUCUGUUAUUAGGGAAGAACAAAUGUGUAAGUAACUGUGCACGUCUUGACGGUACCUAAUCAGAAAGCCACGGCUAACUACGUG